AUUUGAUGGAUGAUGAAAUUAAAAAUAAUUUUGGAGAAAAAAGGUGAAAAUUUGAGUUUUCGGAAUAUUUUUGAAAGAAAAAUCGAAAAAUAAGGGUCAAAAUAUAAUUUAAAAAAUUUGUGCCGCAUAAGAUGCCCGGUCAGCAGCCCCGACGAAUCAAAAUGCAUCGCGUGACAACGGACACUAAUGCGAUGCCACGCGGGAGGCCACCAUGCGAUCUGCGUGCCUGCGAUCGAACGGCCCAGAUACGUUCCCGCGCGCCCGGACGGCCUGGAUGCAUUUCCUCCCCAAAUGCGAUCGGACGAUCCAGAUUAGAUCACGAUGAAUGGUCCAAAUUAGAUUGCGAUGAACGGUAUAUAUUCACUUCCUAUU
RNAcentral lists this long non-coding RNA (372 nucleotides) under Carica papaya (papaya). RNAcentral's name for it is "long non-coding RNA (CPAP_LNC007427)". The record is from RNAcentral. Lineage: Eukaryota; Viridiplantae; Streptophyta; Magnoliopsida; Brassicales; Caricaceae.